Long non-coding RNA from Equus asinus (donkey), 869 nucleotides. The record is from Ensembl. NCBI's taxonomy places the organism in Eukaryota, Metazoa, Chordata, Mammalia, Perissodactyla, Equidae.
GUUCACACCAAGCCUGCAGACCAUGUGCUAGGUACUUACUUGGCAAACGGCCAAGGGAAAAGAGACCGAAACUACAGCACAGCCAUCACCUAAAAAGCCAGCUGUGCUUUCUCUGUAUCCUUCUACCCUAACAGUAAAACCCUGCGCAGAGAAGGGGGUGUGUGAGGAAGAAGCCAGAAGACCGCGCCCCUCCUUCUAGCCUUAAAGGUUUGACAGCCCGUGAGUUGGUAGAAGUGUGUGAGUGUGAUUGAUAAAUACACGUGGUUCUGCUCCGACGUUCCUGGCAGAAGCAGCCUUGUGGGAAGGAAGAUUCAAAACCAGACUUCCUCUUUCCCCCUCUCCCUUCAAGGUCUUCCACAGGGAACACGAUCCUCAGCCCCACCCCAGACACGUCCCAGGGGAAGGCAGGCCUGCGGGGCAGAGGCGUCCCCGGGUCAGCCUUGGAGGUGGUCAGCGGGCUCUGACCUGAACUUGCUAACACUGAACUGGCCUGCCCUUGGCUGAAAAAACCUUCCCACAUCCAGCAUUGCCUCUUGGGCUCUGGCAUCUUAAAGCCGUGCUCAAGAGAAAGCAACUCCAGACUGGAAAAUGAGGACUCUAGAAAGUGGGGAUUUGUGGAAGGUUUGGAAUGAGGAGAGUGACCUGUGCCACGUCUUACACUAUCUCUUGCCUCUUGAGGAAGGACUGGAAAAAUCCUUAGAGAUUUUUCAACUAAGUAAAUUGGGAGUUUUCAGGACUCAUUCUGGACCGUCUUCUCUCUACACUCUGCAUAGGCACAUGGGAUGAUCGCACCUCGUCAUACCCUUGAAGUGGAGAUAUGACUAUGUCACUUGCUUUGGACAGUGAAAUGUGAACAAAAGUGAUUUGCG